CGAAUGCUGACAUAAGUAACGAUAAAGCGGGUGAAAAGCCCGCUCGCCGGAAGACCAAGGGUUCCUGUCCAACGUUAAUCGGGGCAGGGUGAGUCGACCCCUAAGGCGAGGCCGAAAGGCGUAGUCGAUGGGAAACAGGUUAAUAUUCCUGUACUUGGUGUUACUGCGAAGGGGGGACGGAGAAGGCUAUGUUGGCCGGGCGACGGUUGUCCCGGUUUAAGCGUGUAGGCUGGUUUUCCAGGCAAAUCCGGAAAAUCAAGGCUGAGGCGUGAUGACGAGGCACUACGGUGCUGAAGCAACAAAUGCCCUGCUUCCAGGAAAAGCCUCUAAGCAUCAGGUAA
This 341-nucleotide ribosomal RNA is filed under the name Escherichia coli. Its description in RNAcentral is "partial 23S ribosomal RNA". It matches the Rfam family "Bacterial large subunit ribosomal RNA", at positions 1291 to 1634 of the family's 2925-position model. RNAcentral also lists the same sequence under 1 other name. The record is from RNAcentral. Lineage: Bacteria; Pseudomonadati; Pseudomonadota; Gammaproteobacteria; Enterobacterales; Enterobacteriaceae.